UUUUUUUGUUUUUAUUUUUUCCCCCCAGAUGGAAAGAAGGUGUGACCUGGGGUGCAGAGGUGUGCUGGGAUGGCGAGUACGCCAGGCUGGAGCAGGGCCUCUUUAAGGCAGAAGAAGUGGGAAGUUAAGUUGAGAAAGCAGGUUAGGGUCAUUCAUUAAUUCACCAGGUGCUUCUGCGUGCAUACCUUGUCCCAGAUGCUGGCCUAGGUGCUUGUGAUACAUCUGAGCAAAUGCGACAAAGACUGCUGUCCUGUGGAAUGUUUAUAAUUGUUGAGUCAUAGAGUAUGCUAGGUGGUAAGCAUUGUGGAAGACAGAGAAGUAGGUCAGUGGGAUAAGAGAAGUGUGCCCAUUGGAUGGAGUUGUUGUUUCUAAAGAGGGCAUCAGGAGAGGCUUCCCUGAGAAGCAGUAUUUGAGUAAAAACAUAAAGGAAGUGAUGGAGUGAGAAAUCUAAGAUGGGUAGAAAUCUAAGGGAACAGCAUAGCUGGCAGGGGGAACAGCCAGGCCAAGUCCCUGUGUCCAGAGCCUGCGUGGCACGUAUGAAGGCCAUCACCGAGGCAGGCACCUCAGGACAACCCACGUUACCAGUGUCUUGUGUCUCUCUCCUGAGGUAUUCUGUGAAAACCUGGAAAAUGCACGAGCCAUUCUGUCAGGCCCGGGCUGGAAUGCUGUGUCACCUCUGAAUUCACAUUACUAAAUGGAGAGAUCGAUGAAGCCUGUAGCUGUGCCAGGAGUUGGUUAUCAAAAUGAAAUAAAGUACAACUCAGAAACUCAAGUCUUCUGCCGGGACCCACAAAACUGUGCCAGACUAACUUGUUAGCCUGCAAGGAGGGUAAAGUCUCAGAUGCUUCAGCGUUCUUGAGUUUUGGAGAUGAAGAUGUGAGACCAACAGAGACAUGGUCUUCCGGAAGAGGAAGGGUAAUGGCCUGCAGGCCAGACUGAAGAUUGAGGCAAUUCCCUGUGAUCCAGUAGUAAAUGCUCUUUCCCAGGUAUUGGGUGGGUUAUGGGAAUGAGGUCCCCCGGUAUCCUGCUUGUUAAUUAACAAUUAGAGGCUGAGCAGUGAGAGGUAGGAUUGAAACAAGCUGCCUAAAGGGUGCCCUAGUUUUUGGUCACUCUCCUCUGGCAGGUGGAAGAAGGAAUCUUAAGAUAAUGGGACAACUCUAAAGUCAGUGUGGCUGUGGCUGCUAAGCAAAAGAUUCUCAAAAACUGAAAUAAAUGGCAUCAGCAGUGA
Molecule: long non-coding RNA, 1228 nt
Organism: Suricata suricatta (meerkat)
Lineage: Eukaryota; Metazoa; Chordata; Mammalia; Carnivora; Herpestidae
Exons: 4
Source: RefSeq, a predicted model, not a curated record